RNAcentral lists this ribosomal RNA (474 nucleotides) under uncultured bacterium. RNAcentral describes it as "SSU rRNA". It matches the Rfam family "Bacterial small subunit ribosomal RNA", at positions 26 to 518 of the family's 1533-position model. The record is from RNAcentral.
AGGACGAACGCUGGCGGCGUGCUUAACACAUGCAAGUCGAACGGUGACCCAGGGCUUGCCCUGGUGAUCAGUGGCGAACGGGUGAGUAACACGUGGGCAACCUGCCCCAGACUCUGGGAUAACUCCGGGAAACCGGGGCUAAUACCGGAUACGAAUCGAGUUGGCAUCUUCUCGAUUGGAAAGUUUUUCGGUCUGGGAUGGGCCCGCGGCCUAUCAGCUUGUUGGUGGGGUAAUGGCCUACCAAGGCGACGACGGGUAGCCGGCCUGAGAGGGCGACCGGCCACACUGGGACUGAGACACGGCCCAGACUCCUACGGGAGGCAGCAGUGGGGAAUUUUGCGCAAUGGGGGAAACCCUGACGCAGCAACGCCGCGUGGAGGAUGAAAUCCCUUGGGAUGUAAACUCCUUUCGAUCGGGAAGAUGAUGACGGUACCGAGAGAAGAAGCCCGGACUAACGUUCGCGCCAGCAGCCGC